RNAcentral lists this ribosomal RNA (201 nucleotides) under uncultured Thermovirga sp. Its description in RNAcentral is "partial 16S ribosomal RNA". It matches the Rfam family "Bacterial small subunit ribosomal RNA", at positions 1186 to 1382 of the family's 1533-position model. The record is from RNAcentral. Lineage: Bacteria; Thermotogati; Synergistota; Synergistia; Synergistales; Thermovirgaceae.
CAAGUCAUCAUCGGCCCUUAUGUCCGAGGGCGACACACGUGCUACAAUGGCCGGCACAGGCGGGAAGCGAGGGGGCGACCUUGAGCGGAUCCCUCAAAGCCGGUCUCAGUUCGGAUUGCAGUCUGCAACUCGACUGCAUGAAGUUGGAAUCGCUAGUAAUCGUGGAUCAGCCAAGCCGCGGUGAAUACGUUCCCGGGCCUU